GUUCCCAGCGCGCACGUGACAGCGGGUCGUUGUCACGUGGGACAGGUGGGACCGUCUCUCGGGUGGUUGAAUCACUUCGGACAGGUAACGUAGUAAUUAUAGGCGGGCGGAGACCCUAAGGCGAUCUUGGAAGUGCCAUCCAAACCCCUGCCUGAAGAAGUGAGUUCAGAGAGAACACGAGGAAGUCUGUAGAUGCUGAUGGUCUUGAGCAACACGUACGAAAUGCUGGGGGAGCUCAGCGAGUCAGGCAGCGUCUCCGGAGGGGUAAACGACUCGGGCCGAGAAACUUCAUCAGGAGUGGAAAGAAAUGGGGCAGAAGCUUGUAAUAAGGUGGGAGAGGAGAAGGAGUACGUUGAUGCUACCUGGCUUGCUAAGUUUCUCCAGCAUUUUGUAUGCAUCUCUCAAGAUUACCAUCAUCUGCAGAACCUCUUGUGUUGAGGAGCCCAGGAUUUCUUUUGAAGUGAUAUCUUUUGAAAGCAGACAAAUUUGGAUGCCAAGAUUGUGAAAAAUUUAGAGAAAAGAGAAAUAUUCUGCAACAGAAAUUGCAUGGUGCUCGCUUUGAUUUUAUCAAAGAAAGAUCAUUGUAAGAGACCAUCUGGAUAGCUUCAUUUCAGAACAUCACUUAUUAUCCCUGCAACUCAGUAACACGCAAAACUGGUUGUGAACCUCACAGAUGAGAGGAAUCAACAGUUUCUUUCAACAACUGAAAUUCAUUGAGAGAGCAUACUGAAUAUUUCAGAAGCCUCCUCUGGCAAACUAUUGACAGAACACCAACUUCAUCACAAAUAAAGUGGAAAUACGUUCUUAACGACUGUGAUUUUCAGGUACAGAGCUGAAACUUGGUAAGUGCAUGUGAGAUACCUCAUGGUACCACCAACAGCUGAAGAACCUUUAACAUUUUCAUAUAUGAGAGAUUAACUGAUAACAGCAUACUCUCUAAAAGGAACACAUCAAGCAUUGGAGUAAAGAUUAUCUAACAUAAGGUCGUUUACACCAGUCAAAUCAUACAGAUGCUCAGCUCCCAAUUCUUCAAACUAGCUUUUUUUUCCCCUCGCAGCUCCAUCAUGAGGGUUGGGGAAAAAGAUCGUCCUGAAGGUGUAAUAUCAAUGCCGACUCAUGGACUGUCAUAGACUGGGAGGUUGCUGCAAGAAUCUCUGCAACUUGAGACCAGGAUGGCAACAGGGAAUGAUAUAGAAGGAAUCUAAGUUUAUCACUAUUGGAUGAGAUCAGCAAUCUGCAGACUCCUUGGAAUAUAUCAUUGUUGGUGAUUUGAGAAAUUGCAUUAUACAUAAACCAUUAUCGUUUGCAAUGUCCUUCAGAUCAAAGUGAUAAUUUGCAUGGAGGAGAGCAGAUGGGCAAGGAGAUCUCUGUAAUUCUAGGUGAGAAGUUUUUGCUCUGUAACACAUCUGCCUGCAUCUUUGUAAAUUAGAGAGUAUGCAGUGUCCAUUGGAGUGCUUGAGGCAUUUUUGUAACCCUAUGACUAGAGUACUGUAUAAAUUUAAAAACUGAGCAUUCAUGUAGCAACUGGUAGUGUGAGCAGUGAAACAAAUAAAACAAGGCCUAUUUCAAAGGGAGAUAGAACUUUACUGUUGGGUGUGUGUUGUAACAUUGAAGAAACAAAGAUCAAAUGAGUUCUUAUUGAAAGGCAUUGAUAUAGUAAUUAAUGGAAGGCAAUAAAGACAAGAUAAACUUCUGUUAAGUAUCACAUCAAGCUCUAAGGAAUAGUAGGAACAUAAUUGAUUUCAUUGUUUUAAUUAGCUUGAAAAGUAUAGAUUUCUGAGAAAAGCAAGGUUUAAUUGCUCUGGGUGCCAUGCUGAUUUGCAGAGCUUGAGAGUGGCUUCGGGCUGAACAGCAAAAUCUGGGCCUGGAGUGUGGUCUGUGCUGGAGCCUGGGUCUUAGUGCAAGAUAAAAUGUACUCUUCAGACCAUUUAAAUUGCAGCCCAGAUUGGAAGUGGGAGCUGAUUUUGCUCACUCUCCGUGAUGGUCACUCCAAUCUCCAGGAUGCAGAACCUUUCGCUGUUCUGUUGUUGGGUCAGUUUAAACAUUGGCCCAGAUAGACUGUAAAGGCAGGGUGUCGGUCAGGACAGAGCUGAUUUUGCUGGUUCUCUACAAUGGUUAUCUCCGUGAUGCUGAGGCUAUGAAGACUGUCUGCUGAUGUGUUGAACUGAUAAGUGGAACUUCAGGCUUUCUCCAAGUUGCUCUGAAGUUCAGAUCUGAGAACACAAUUUUGGUUUGGAAUGCUGUUUUUCACUUCGAUUGUUUGCAAUUUUUUUCUUGCAUAUUGGGUGUUGGUCUUUUAUUUUUACUUUAUUCAUUUUUUUUUCUUUAACUGGGUUCUUUUAGGUUUCUUGCUUUGUGGCUAUCUGUGAGCAGGGAAAUUUCAAGGUUGCAUAAUUUAUACAUUCUUUGAUAAUAAAUGAG
This is a long non-coding RNA of Hypanus sabinus (Atlantic stingray), 2421 nucleotides long. RefSeq lists it as uncharacterized. The transcript has 3 exons. Lineage: Eukaryota; Metazoa; Chordata; Chondrichthyes; Myliobatiformes; Dasyatidae. The record is from RefSeq and is a predicted model, not a curated record.